CUGUAUGGCCAUAACACCUUGUCUGUUUCUGAUCUUAUCUGAUCUGGGAAGCUGUGCAGGGUCAGUCUGCUGAAUACUUGGAUGGGAGACUGUUGGGAAUACUCAGGACUGCAGU
Molecule: ribosomal RNA, 115 nt
Filed under: Periophthalmus magnuspinnatus
Lineage: Eukaryota; Metazoa; Chordata; Actinopteri; Gobiiformes; Gobiidae
Source: RNAcentral